CCUUCAUUUCCCUUUUCAUUAUUUCCCCCAUCUUCUUCGUAGAUGGCAGAGUAAGGAACAUCAACGUGAACCUUUUCCCCCUUCCUCGAAGAAGCCACGAACUAGCAACCCUUCAUCCCCUUCAUUCCCUUCGAUUUUUUCCGGUGAGAAUGGCAACGACAGCUGCAUUGUUUCGGCGGUAGCGGCGAAGCAGAACAGCCCCGACGAGCUCCUCUCCUCCCUCCUCUGGUUUCCGGCGAGCUUUGACACGGUGCGACGACGACCUAGAUCUUGGAAGAUGCGGUGUCCUCCUGUUCCUUUCAUCUUUGGUCAGUAGCAACGACAAUGGUGGUCUCCGACAGUUUGGCCAGCAGCGAUGGUGGCCUCCCUUCCGGCGUCGUGCGUUGGUUUCCGGCAAAAAGGAUUCUGAGGUGGAAAAUCAGGCAGAGGAGCUUAGUAUCCAAGGAGGUAUACAGUUGGACUGGUUGUACAGGGUGGCUUGGAGGUACAGGUUGGAACUGUUAUAAGGAUGGAGUGGCGUAAAGGUGCAGAGUAGUUGAGCCAAGAGCGCGAUAGUGGAGCGGUGGAGCCUAGUAGACUAGCUUCCUUCUUAUAGCUUAGUAGUAGUUUGGCCUGUGUGCCCUGGAACUUGUAGACUUUUUGUUAAUAGUUUUUGUAAGCCUGUGCAUUUAGAUUGGAAAUCUAUAUGUGACAUAGCAUCUCUAAGACUUUGUUAAGAUUUUGC
Ipomoea nil (Japanese morning glory) is the source of this 724-nucleotide long non-coding RNA. RefSeq lists it as uncharacterized. Lineage: Eukaryota; Viridiplantae; Streptophyta; Magnoliopsida; Solanales; Convolvulaceae. The transcript has 3 exons. The record is from RefSeq and is a predicted model, not a curated record.